This 460-nucleotide ribosomal RNA is filed under the name uncultured bacterium. RNAcentral's name for it is "partial 16S ribosomal RNA". It matches the Rfam family "Bacterial small subunit ribosomal RNA", at positions 338 to 795 of the family's 1533-position model. The record is from RNAcentral.
CCUACGAGUGGCAGCAGUGAGGAAUAUUGGUCAAUGGGCGCGAGCCUGAACCAGCCAAGUCGCGUGAGGGAUGACGGCCCUACGGGUUGUAAACCUCUUUUGCCGGGGAGCAACGGGCGCCACGUGUGGCGCCACUGAGAGUACCCGGAGAAAAAGCAUCGGCUAACCCCGUGCCACCACCAGCGGUAAUCCGGAGGUUGCGAGCUUUAUCCGGAUUUAUUGGGUUUAAAGGGUGCGUAGGCGGAUUGUUAAGUCAGUGGUAAAAUUGAGGGGCUAAACCCCUUCCCGCCAUUGAAACUGGCGCUCUUGAGUGGAAGAGAGGUAUGCGGAAUGCGUGGUGUAGCGGUGAAAUGCAUAGAUAUCACGCAGAACCCCGAUUGCGAAGGCAGCAUGCCGGCUUCCGACUGACGCUGAAGCACGAAAGCGUGGGGAUCGAACAGGAUUAGAUACCCUGGUAGUC